CAAAGUAAGUAUGAAUACUAGAAAAAAUAUUUUACGAGAUUCACAGAUGAACUCAUGUCGAGCUAAUCUAGCAUAUGACUGAUGAUGGGAUUUGACAAUUCUCCAUAACCUCCGUCUAGUCGGGACACGAUAAAGGGAUUGUAUCAUACGAUAACUACACCUAGGGAUUUAUCUUUUCUGUUCUACUGGGUUGCUACUACAUGCUGCUAGAUAUCACUAAUGGAUCGUAAGAACUCACUAAGAUUAUUUUUGGAUCAAUGAUCCUU
Molecule: long non-coding RNA, 266 nt
Filed under: Elaeis guineensis (African oil palm)
Lineage: Eukaryota; Viridiplantae; Streptophyta; Magnoliopsida; Arecales; Arecaceae
Description: long non-coding RNA (EGUI_LNC067639)
Source: RNAcentral